ACGAACGAUUGCGGCGUGCUUAACACAUGCAAGUCGAGCGAUGAAGUUUCUUCGGAAAUGGAUUAGCGGCGAACGGGUGAGGAACACGUGAAGAAUCUGCCCUCCACUUUGGGAUAACACAGGGAAACCUGUGCUAAUACCGAAUAUUGAAACAUAAGUGGCAUCACUGAGUUUUGAAAGAAUUUCGGUGGAGGAUGACUUCGCGGCCUAUCAGCUAGUUGGUGAGGUAAUGGCUCACCAAGGCAACGACGGGUAGCCGGCCUGAGAGGGCGACCGGCCACACUGGGACUGAGACACGGCCCAGACUCCUACGGGAGGCAGCAGUGGGGAAUAUUGGGCAAUGGAGGAAACUCUGACCCAGCGACGCCGCGUGCGGGAUGAAGGCCUUCGGGUUGUAAACCGCUUUCAGUAGGGAAGAAGCGAAAGUGACGGUACCUACAAAAGAAGCACCGGCUAACUAUGUGCCAGCAGCCGCGGUAAUACAUAGGGUGCAAGCGUUGUCCGGAAUUAUUGGGCGUAAAGAGCUCGUAGGUGGUUCGUCACGUCGGAUGUGAAAACCUGAGGCUCAACCUCAGACCUGCAUUCGAUACGGGCGAACUAGAGUAUGGUAGGGGAGUCUGGAAUUCCUGGUGUAGCGGUGGAAUGCGCAGAUAUCAGGAGGAACACCAAUGGCGAAGGCAGGUCUCUGGGCCAAUACUGACACUGAGGAGCGAAAGUGUGGGGAGCGAACAGGAUUAGAUACCCUGGUAGUCCAGACCGUAAACGGUGGGCACUAGUUGUGGGGACCUUCCACGGUCUCUGCGACGCAGCUAACGCAUUAAG
RNAcentral lists this ribosomal RNA (822 nucleotides) under uncultured Actinomycetales bacterium. Its description in RNAcentral is "bacterial SSU rRNA". It matches the Rfam family "Bacterial small subunit ribosomal RNA", at positions 29 to 864 of the family's 1533-position model. The record is from RNAcentral. Lineage: Bacteria; Bacillati; Actinomycetota; Actinomycetes; Actinomycetales.